Molecule: non-coding RNA, 389 nt
Organism: Phodopus roborovskii (desert hamster)
Lineage: Eukaryota; Metazoa; Chordata; Mammalia; Rodentia; Cricetidae
Source: the annotation of a RefSeq genome assembly
UCAGCAUGGAGUUGGGACUGAGCUGGAUCUUCCUUGCUGCUCUUUUGAAAGGUGUCCAGUGUGAGGUGCACCUGGUGGAGUCUGGGGGUAGCCUGGUGCAGCCUGGGAGGUCCCUGAUACUCUCCUGCACAGCCUCUGGGUUCACCUUUAGUGACUACUGGAUGAACUGGAUGCGCCAAGCUCCCGGCAAGAGGCUGGAGUGGGUUGGAGAAAUUAAUAAAGAUAGCAGUAACACGGACUAUCCACCAUCCUUUAAGGAUCGAUUCACCAUCUCCAGAGAGAAUACCAAGAACACUGUCUACCUGCAAAUGAACAGUGUGAAGUUUGAGGACACAGCCAUGUAUUACUGUGUGAGAUCCACUGUAAGGGGAACUCAAUGUGAACCCUGA